Molecule: signal recognition particle RNA, 275 nt
Filed under: Dryobates pubescens (Downy woodpecker)
Lineage: Eukaryota; Metazoa; Chordata; Aves; Piciformes; Picidae
Description: Picoides pubescens (downy woodpecker) Metazoan signal recognition particle RNA
Rfam family: Metazoan signal recognition particle RNA
About the family: The signal recognition particle (SRP) is a universally conserved ribonucleoprotein. It is involved in the co-translational targeting of proteins to membranes.
Source: Rfam by way of RNAcentral
GCUGGGCAAGGUGGCUUGUGCCUGUAAUCCAAGCACCAGAGAGGCUCAGACUGGUGGAUUGGCUCAAGCCUGGGGUUUCUGGGCUGCAAUAGAUGUCUGUGCUGAAGCUGGCAUCAGUAUGGUGGUCCUGGGGGAACCAGGGACCAUCAGGUCAGCUAUGGAGGGGUGAACUGGCCCAGGCUGGAGAUGGAGCAGGUCAACACUCCUGUGCUUAUCAGUAUCUGUGAACUGUCCCUGUAGCAGAGCCCAGGUGGGAGAGCAGGACCAAUUUUCUU